RNAcentral lists this ribosomal RNA (497 nucleotides) under uncultured bacterium. RNAcentral's name for it is "partial 16S ribosomal RNA". It matches the Rfam family "Bacterial small subunit ribosomal RNA", at positions 28 to 507 of the family's 1533-position model. The record is from RNAcentral.
GAUGAACGCUGGCGGCGUGCCUAAUACAUGCAAGUCGAGCGAACAGACGAGGAGCUUGCUCCUCUGACGUUAGCGGCGGACGGGUGAGUAACACGUGGAUAACCUACCUAUAAGACUGGGAUAACUUCGGGAAACCGGAGCUAAUACCGGAUAAUAUAUUGAACCGCAUGGUUCAAUAGUGAAAGACGGUUUUGCUGUCUCUUAUAGAUGGAUCCGCGCCGCAUUAGCUAGUUGGUAAGGUAACGGCUUACCAAGGCAACGAUGCGUAGCCGACCUGAGAGGGUGAUCGGCCACACUGGAACUGAGACACGGUCCAGACUCCUACGGGAGGCAGCAGUAGGGAAUCUUCCACAAUGGGCGAAAGCCUGACGGAGCAACGCCGCGUGAGUGAUGAAGGUCUUCGGAUCGUAAAACUCUGUUAUUAGGGAAGAACAAAUGUGUAAGUAACUAUGCACGUCUUGACGGUACCUAAUCAGAAAGCCACGGCUAACUACGUG